UGAAAUGAAGUUUCAUUCCUCCUGAACACAUGAAAUUCCAAUAUUUUAACAUUUUUGGGCUUCAGGCAAGGAGGUUCAAACAAUAUUUGAUCAUAACAUAUUGCUAUAGUCUUAAGAAAAAAAUGCUUUAGAAAAUAUUGUUAAAUUUUGUGUAUUUGAUCAUAUAACAAGUCCUCAUCCUCCAUCACAACAUUACCUACAUGUAUAGCCAUAUUGAAAUUCAUACAGGUAUUAGGUAUAAUGAUUGGUACAUGUAAUUUUUAAAAAAUGCAAACUUUCUUUUUGUGUGAUUUAGUUUGAACUGUCAUCAUUCUCCAUUUCUUAUUACAUGUAGUCCUUAUAACUUGACAAUUGAAAAGGUAGUAUGCAGUAAGCAUGACCUGAGAAAUAAUGAAUCUAAGUAAAAACUGAGAGCAUACAAAGAAACAUUUUAAUCAAGUAUACCCAAUGAUUCUUACAUUUUCUAUACAUUCAUGUGCUACAGAUCCUAGUGGAAAUGAAAAUCUACAAGCCAGUGGUCAUGAAUCUUCCCCAGAGAGCCCCUGUGAAGGCACUGUUCCUAGCCCCAGAGCCAGAGGUAAAGCUUGAAAAAUGUUCAAUAUACAGCCUUGUAUACAAACAUGGUAGAAAAUGCUCUUUAACAGUUUUUACUCUUUCUUUUCUAAUAGUUACUCCAACAGAAAAUAAAGCAUAUUACAUUCAUUCAACUGUUACAAAAAUUUUAAAUAAAUGAAUUAAUUAUAUUUCGUAUUAAAUGAUGUACUGCACAGGUUCUUGUAAACCCCCAAGAUUACAUUAUAGUAUGUGUAUUACUGUACUGUUUUUUAUUGCAAGAAAUUCAAUGAAAUCUAGCAUUCAUAAACUUUUCCUUUUGACCUAUUACAGACCUAAAAUUUAGAUUGCAUGUCGGAAGAAAUACUUCUCUUUGAUUUUUUAUGUUAGAUUUUUCCCCUUUGAUGCAACAUAUCAUGUUAUUAAUCAUAGUAAAAUGUGUGACACAUGGAUAAACAAUUAUCCAGCAACCCUUAGGUGGGCAGAGCCAUAACAUGGAAUGUAAUAUCAAGUCCAGCAUGGGUGCACCAAUGGCAAAUAAGGUUUUGGCCAUUUCCCACACAGUUAAUCUCUAAUUUCUUUGCUCUAUUGCAGGAUUUUAAAUUACCUAUGACAACACACAAAAAAAUAUAGUGAGGCGACACGAAGGUAGUAAAAAGGCCCAGGAUGGGAUUAACAUAUGGACAACGAUAUUUGCGGCCGAAGAUAUGGUACCAUUUACAGAUACUUGUGAUGAUACCACAAUUCCUGCCCUAUAAAUCCCAUUGGAGCACCUCCUCCAAACAAAACAGGAUCUUAGUGCACUGCACAAAGCCAUGCUGUUUCAAAUACAGAGGGUCCACUUAAAAGUUAGAUCUCGAUUUGAUUCUGGAUUGCCAUCGUCUUCAACAGUGAGUCUGGCCCCAAGCCAUGGAAAAAAAGAAAUUGUGGCACUCGCUGCAAUGCAGGAGGUUGCAGCAACACCAGCUUUGAUAGGUUUUUUGUCCAUCCUAUGCCAGGGAAAGUGCCUACAUGUAUAGCCAUAUUGAAAUUCAUACAGGUAUUAGGUAUAAUGAUUGGUACAUGUAAUUUUUUAAAAAUGCAAACUUUCUUUUUGUGUGAUUUAGUUUGAACUCUCAUCAUUCUCCAUUUCUUAUUACAUGUAGUCCUUAUAACUUGACAAUUGAAAAGGUAGUAUGCAGUAAGCAUGACCUGAGAAAUGAUGAAUCUAAGUAAAAACUGAAAGCAUACAAAGAAACAUUUUAAUCAAGUAUACCCAAUGAUUCUUACAUUUUCUGUUCAUUCAUGUGCUACAGAUCCUAGUGGAAAUGAAAAUCUACAAGCCAGUGGUCAUGAAUCUUCCCCAGAGAGCCCCUGUGAAGGCACUGUUCCUAGCCCCAGAGCCAGAGGAUUUCGAAUUACCUAUGACAACACACAAAAAAAUAUAGUGAGGAGACACGAAGGUAGUAAAAAGGCCAGGAUGGGAUUAACAUAUGGACAAUAUUUGCGGCCGAAGAUAUGACACCAUUUACAGAUACUUGUGAUGAAACCACAAUCCCUGCCCUACAAAUCCCAUUGGAGCACCUCCUCCAAACAAAACAGGAUAGUGCACUGCAUAAAGCCAUGCUCUUUCAAAUACAGAGGGUCCACUUAAAAGUUAGAUCUCGAUUUGAUUCUGGAUUGCCAUCGUCUUCGACAGUGAGUCUGGCCCCAAGCCAUGGAAAAAAAGAAAAUGUGGCACUCGCUGCAAUGCAGGAGGUUGCAGCAACACGAACUUUGAUAGGUUUUUUUGUCCAUCGUAUGCCAGGGAAAAUGACAGCAGAGCUGAGAGACAGAUUCAAUAGCACCCAGAAAUCCUGAAUGGACUUUAUCAGGUGCAAACGCAAAUUUGAAGCAAGAUCAUACAAAUAUAUUAACCUGUGCAGUGGACUUUUCAUGGAAGAGGAUUAUGAAUAUACUGAGGUUCAGAUGCAUAAACAUGGAAUUAAAAAAAAAACUCCCAACCUAAAAAAAGGAUACUGUGACGGAAUCACUAAAAAAAUAAAUUAGCAAGACUUAUGUAACAAACAAAGUGUGACGUCAUAAUGCACCAUUUUUGGUAGCGUCUUUUAGUUAGUACUUUCUAUUGUGACGUAGCACUGGUCAUGGCUACUUCUGGUCAGAAACCAUUAGCAACGCGCCUAAAUUGCGUAAUCAAUAAAAUGCGCGUUCCAUUUCUUGCUCCAUAAAAGUUACUUUUUAUAACGAAGAUUACCAUUGAUUCAGAUAAAGAUUUGUUGUGCACAGUACCGAGAGCGUCAUUUUUGACAGACAUAUUUUUCUGGACAAGUGGGCAAACCUUUCAAGGUAAUUUAAUCUUUAUUUCUCCAGUAAUAUUUGCUGACUAUUUUAGGAGAAGAAUAUUUACCAUAAUGAUUGCUGAAUGUGAGAUUCCAAAUUAAUUAUCUUGAUUCUCUAUUUUUAAAGUUUUAUAGGAGAAAUUGAGUCACAUAAAGGUUGUUUGAAGUUGCGUCAUACUAUAUUCUCAUUUUGCCAUUACGGAAAGAGGUUUAUUCUAUGUUGCGUUCAGUCGAAUUUUCAUGGUGCGUCAGUAUGCGCAUUAGAGAUGUUUGUUUUUGUUUUAAACCAUAAAUGUGUGAAAUAUUUGCCAAUGAAUUUUGGUAAAUUUUAAAAGAUGCCAUUAUUGGUCAGUUUUUAUAUGCCAAUAUUUUCGUCAAGUUGAAAAGAUGCCAAUAAUACUUGGUCAGUUUUUAUAGGCCGAUAUUUUCGUCUAGUUGAAAAGAUGCCAAUAAUACUUGGUCAGUUUUUAUAUGCCGAUAUUUUCAUCAAGUUGAAAAGAUGCCAAUAAUACUUGGUCAGUUUUUAUAUGCCGAUAUUUUCGUCAAGUUGAAAAGAUGCCAAUAAUACUUGGUCAGUUUUUAUAUGCCGAUAUUUUCGUCAAGUUGAAAAGAUGCCAAUAAUACUUGGUCAGUUUUUAUAUGCCGAUAUUUUCGUCAAGUUGAAAAGAUGCCAAUAAUACUUGGUCAGUUUUUAUAUGCCAAUAUUUUUGUCAAAGUUGAAAAGAUGCCAAUAUACUUGGUCAGUU
RNAcentral lists this long non-coding RNA (3616 nucleotides) under Lytechinus variegatus (green sea urchin). RNAcentral describes it as "uncharacterized LOC121425042". The record is from RNAcentral. Lineage: Eukaryota; Metazoa; Echinodermata; Echinoidea; Temnopleuroida; Toxopneustidae.